UAACACGUAAGCAACCUGCCUUUAAGACGAGAAUAACAAUUGGAAACAGUUGCUAAGGCUGGAUAGGAAAUAAAAAGGCAUCUUUUUAUUUUUAAAAGACCUUUUUCGGAAGGUAUGCUUAAAGAGGGGCUUGCGUCACAUUAGUUAGUUGGUAGGGUAAAGGCCUACCAAGACGAUGAUGUGUAGCUGGACUGAGAGGUUGAACAGCCACAUUGGGACUGAGACACGGCCCAAACUCCUACGGGAGGCAGCAGUAGGGAAUUUUCGGCAAUGGAGGAAACUCUGACCGAGCAACGCCGCGUGAACGACGAAGUACUUCGGUAUGUAAAGUUCUUUUAUUGAAGAAGAAACAAUAGUGGAAAAACUAUCUUGACGUUAUUCAAUGAAUAAGCCCCGGCUAACUAUGUGCCAGCAGCCGCGGUAAUACAUAGGGGGCGAGCGUUAUCCGGAAUUAUUGGGCGUAAAGGGUGCGUAGGCGGUUUAAUAAGUCUCUAGUUUAAUUUCAACGCUUAACGUUGUCCUGCUAGAGAAACUGUUUAACUAGAGUGAGAUAGAGGUAAGCGGAAUUCCAUGUGUAGCGGUAAAAUGUGUAAAUAUAUGGAGGAACACCAGAGGCGUAGGCGGCUUACUGGGUCUUUACUGACGCUGAUGCACGAAAGCGUGGGGAGCAAACAGGAUUAGAUACCCUGGUAGUCCACGCCGUAAACUAUGAGUACUAAGUGUCGGGGUUAAACUCGGUACUGAAGUUAACACAUUAAGUACUCCGCCUGAGUAGUACGUACGCAAGUAUGAAACUUAAAGGAAUUGACGGGAUCCCGCACAAGCGGUGGAUCAUGUUGUUUAAUUCGAAGAUACACGAAAAACCUUACCAGGUCUUGACAUACUCUGCAAAGCUAUAGAAAUAUAGUGGAGGUUAUCAGGGAUACAGGUGGUGCAUGGUUGUCGUCAGCUCGUGUCGUGAGAUGUUAGGUUAAGUUCUAAAACGAGCGCAACCCCUGUCGUUAAUUGCCAGCACGUUAUGGUGGGGACUUUAGCGAGACUGCCAAUGAAAAAUUGGAGGAAGGUGGGGAUUACGUCAAAUCAUCAUGCCCCUUAUGAUCUGGGCUACAAACGUGAUACAAUGGCUAUUACAAAGAGUAGCUGAAACGCGAGUUUUUGGCAAAUCUCAAAAAAAUAGUCUCAGUUCGGAUUGAAGUCUGCAACUCGACUUCAUGAAGUUGGAAUCGCUAGUAAUCGCGAAUCAGCAUGUCGCGGUGAAUACGUUCUCGGGGUUUGUACACACCGCCCGUCAAACCACGAAAGUGGACAAUACCCGAAAGCGACAGCCUAACUGCGUAAGCAGAGGGAAUCGUCUAAGGUAGGGUCGAUGAUUGGGGUUAAGUCGUAACAAGGUAUCCCUACCGGAAGGUGGGGAUGGAUCACCUCCUUUCU
This 1431-nucleotide ribosomal RNA is filed under the name Coconut lethal yellowing phytoplasma. RNAcentral describes it as "16S ribosomal RNA". It matches the Rfam family "Bacterial small subunit ribosomal RNA". The record is from RNAcentral. Lineage: Bacteria; Bacillati; Mycoplasmatota; Mollicutes; Acholeplasmatales; Acholeplasmataceae.